This 72-nucleotide transfer RNA is filed under the name Candidatus Vidania fulgoroideorum. Its description in RNAcentral is "tRNA-Val". It matches the Rfam family "tRNA". From Rfam's summary of the family: Transfer RNA (tRNA) molecules are approximately 80 nucleotides in length. Their secondary structure includes four short double-helical elements and three loops (D, anti-codon, and T loops). The record is from RNAcentral. Lineage: Bacteria; Pseudomonadati; Pseudomonadota; Betaproteobacteria.
AAGCAUUUAGCUCAAUGGUAGAGCAUCGUUUUUACAUAGCGAAAGCUGUAGGUUCAACUCCUACAAUGCUUA